RNAcentral lists this small RNA (404 nucleotides) under uncultured fungus. RNAcentral describes it as "eukaryotic LSU rRNA". The stretch from base 1 to 88 matches the Rfam family "5.8S ribosomal RNA", at positions 69 to 154 of the family's 154-position model. The record is from RNAcentral. Lineage: Eukaryota; Fungi.
GAAUAGCAGAAUAUCAGUGAAUCAUCGAAUCUUUGAACGCACCUUGCCGCCCCUUGGUAUUCCGAGGGGCACACCCGUUUGAGUGUCGUGAAAACCUCAACCUCCUUGGUUUCUUCUGGAGACCAAAGGAGGCUUGGACUUUGGAGGCCUUUGCUGGCAUCUCUGUCAGCUCCUCUCAAAUGAAUUAGCGGGGUCCUCUUUGCCGAUCCUUGACAUGUGAUAAGAUGCUUCCGUGUCUCGGUUUCUGGCUCUGUUGCUUUUGGGACCCGCUUCUAACCGUCUAGGUUGAGACAACGUUUGAGCUCGUCUCCCUUGUCGGGAAACCUGCUCGACCCCACGAACCCUUGGCCUCAAAUCGGGUGAGACUACCCGCUGAACUUAAGCAUAUCAAUAAGCGGAGGAAA